Non-coding RNA from Sinocyclocheilus rhinocerous, 484 nucleotides. NCBI's taxonomy places the organism in Eukaryota, Metazoa, Chordata, Actinopteri, Cypriniformes, Cyprinidae. The record is from the annotation of a RefSeq genome assembly.
AUGUUACGCAUUUCAGCUGCAGCUUUAUUGCUCUUUGGGACGGGUUUUCUCCAAGUUAUGUUUUCGAUAGCAAUUAUACAGGCUCAUCCAGGACAAAGUGUCACUAUGUGGUGUUCACACAAUAUUCAUGUUUCUGGAUAUCUGUACUGGUUCAAACAAACAGACGGUGCUGUACCCAUUACUAUUGUGCACAUGUUAUACACCGAAAGUCUUCAGAAGGUUGAGCCAAAUUAUUUCAACAAUUUCACAAAAGACCGCAUCGUCAUGGAUCAGUUAAGCAAAAGCACUGCCCUAACAAUUAAGCAAGUGAAAAUGUCUGAUUCUGGUUUCUACUUUUGUGGAGCUACAGGAUAUCACAUGAAAUUUGGCAAUGGAACAAGGCUUCAAGUGAAAGGGAACACAGAAGACAGAAGCAUAAAAAAGUCGCUGAAUGUCAAGCACAACAGCAUGAUGACAAGGAAAAUGAUUCAGUAGAAUAUGCUGC